AACGAACGCUGGCGGCAGGCUUAACACAUGCAAGUCGAGCGGUCAUAGCAAUAUGUCAGCGGCAGACGGGUGAGUAACGCGUGGGAAUCUACCCAACCCUACGGAAUAACGCAUGGAAACGUGUGCUAAUACCGUAUACGCCCUAACGGGGAAAGAUUUAUCGGGGAUGGAUGAGCCCGCGUUGGAUUAGCUAGUUGGUGGGGUAAAGGCCUACCAAGGCGACGAUCCAUAGCUGGUCUGAGAGGAUGAUCAGCCACAUUGGGACUGAGACACGGCCCAAACUCCUACGGGAGGCAGCAGUGGGGAAUAUUGGACAAUGGGCGCAAGCCUGAUCCAGCCAUGCCGCGUGAGUGAUGAAGGCCCUAGGGUUGUAAAGCUCUUUCACCGGAGAAGAUAAUGGCGGUAUCCGGAGAAGAAGCCCCGGCUAACUUCGUGCCAGCCGCCGCAGUAA
Molecule: ribosomal RNA, 451 nt
Filed under: uncultured bacterium
Lineage: Bacteria
Description: partial 16S ribosomal RNA
Rfam family: Bacterial small subunit ribosomal RNA
Source: RNAcentral